CAGAGAAAGCUGACAUCUAGCUCAGGUUGUUUCUUUCUCUUAGUUUCCCAGACAACCUGGUUGCUGUUCAACACUCUAAUGAAUGUGAAGUUUUACUGAUGUCAAGAUAAUCAUUACAUUUGAUUCUGCUCAUAUUCAGAGCACUUAGAAAGACCAUGAAUGUUGUUUGACACCUGAAGACAGAGAAGGUGGCAGAUGGAAAUAGUUUUCCUUUCAGGAACCCAGUAACUUGUGGUCGCUGGCUGCUACAGAAAAGAACAGGAAAGCCCGAUACAAUGGUACACAUAUGUGAGCCCUGCCCAGGCAAAGGCAGGAAGAUCAUGAAAGUCUUGUUUACAUUACAAUAUC
This 348-nucleotide long non-coding RNA is filed under the name Mus spicilegus (steppe mouse). RNAcentral's name for it is "lncRNA (ENSMSIG00000030984.1)". Lineage: Eukaryota; Metazoa; Chordata; Mammalia; Rodentia; Muridae. The record is from RNAcentral.